Molecule: ribosomal RNA, 497 nt
Filed under: uncultured bacterium
Lineage: Bacteria
Description: partial 16S ribosomal RNA
Rfam family: Bacterial small subunit ribosomal RNA
Source: RNAcentral
GAUGAACGCUGGCGGCGUGCCUAAUACAUGCAAGUCGAGCGAACGGACGAGAAGCUUGCUUCUCUGAUGUUAGCGGCGGACGGGUGAGUAACACGUGGAUAACCUACCUAUAAGACUGGGAUAACUUCGGGAAACCGGAGCUAAUACCGGAUAAUAUUUUGAACCGCAUGGUUCAAAAGUGAAAGACGGUCUUGCUGUCACUUAUAGAUGGAUCCGCGCUGCAUUAGCUAGUUGGUAAGGUAACGGCUUACCAAGGCAACGACGCAUAGCCGACCCGAGAGGGUGAUCGGCCACACUGGAACUGAGACACGGUCCAGACUCCUACGGGAGGCAGCAGUAGGGAAUCUUCCGCAAUGGGCGAAAGCCUGACGGAGCAACGCCGCGUGAGUGAUGAAGGUCUUCGGAUCGUAAAACUCUGUUAUUAGGGAAGAACAUAUGUGUAAGUAACUGUGCACAUCUUGACGGUACCUAAUCAGAAAGCCACGGCUAACUACGUG